This is a long non-coding RNA of Sander lucioperca (pikeperch), 253 nucleotides long. RefSeq lists it as uncharacterized. The transcript is spliced from 3 exons. NCBI's taxonomy places the organism in Eukaryota, Metazoa, Chordata, Actinopteri, Perciformes, Percidae. The record is from RefSeq and is a predicted model, not a curated record.
UUCACCUGUUUCCCUGCCUUGUGGCCACCUGUCCCUUGUUAGUCCUCGUUAUCCUGUGUAUUUAGUUUCUGUGUUUCCUUGGUGUUUUGUGGGAUUAUUAUGUUACAUUUCUGUUGCUGGUCGGUGUGUCUCGUUCCUGUUGUUCCUGUCGUUCCUCCCUGUGUCAGUUCGUGUCUAGCUCUGUGCUUCCUGGAUUUCCCUGGUUUUUCAUUUGGGUCCAACCUCCAGUGCCAUUCCUUGUCCGAAUAUUCCC